Apis cerana (Asiatic honeybee) is the source of this 1880-nucleotide long non-coding RNA. RefSeq lists it as uncharacterized. The record is from RefSeq and is a predicted model, not a curated record. Lineage: Eukaryota; Metazoa; Arthropoda; Insecta; Hymenoptera; Apidae.
UCGAUAUCUUAAUGAUAUAUAAAAUUGAAAAUUCAAUGCAAUAUGAUUAAUCCAUAAUAAUAAUCGUUAACAAUAUUUUUGAUAAUAAAUUUGAAGAAGAAACAGAAAUUUUCAUCUAUUAUAAAUAUCUUAACAAUUAUCGAUAUAUCGAAUCAUCGAUAAUCAUUCUGAAUUAUAAUUCAAUACUAAAUAAUAGUAAUAAAAUCGACAUUAAUAAUGAACUAAAAAUCUAAGACCAAAAACAAAGAACAUCGAAGCGUCAAAGAGACAAACAAAUUAUUCAGUCGGUCGGAAACAUCGUGAAUUUCCAUAGCAGCAUUGGACGCGACCAUUGAACACGGAUCGUCGAUCGAGUCGUCUACGAAGAGAGUGGGUCAAGGUGGCUGUCUUCGUGAUCUCCUUAGUUCCGCGUUCUACUGGCGGGUUUCGUUCAUUCGUUUAUUCGGUGAAUAUGGAUAGUGUGUGCAUCGACAUGUAUACACGCGUGUUCCUUCACUUAUAUGUAUGUGCGACACAAUUGUAUGUAGGUACGGAUAUAACCUAUGUGCCGCGUCAUCAACCACUGCGAACCUACACCGUCAUCAGAAGCGAAAGAUGCUGGCGUCGCCAAAUCUUCCCUUUCUCCACCUUCUAUACGCGGCGAGAGUAAACGUGACGUCACUAGCUUAAAGCUGCUAGACGAAAUGAGAAAAACCGAUUGAUUCGUUCUUUUCGUUUCGUUUACCUUCGUACUCUCCUUACUCGGAAUCUAUAUAAGUGAUCAAGAAUCUUAGAUUCAAUGAAGGAAUGAAUUAUUGUUAUUAUUGGUACUGUUAUUAAUGGCUGCAUACAUUCUUGAAGCAUUUUGAAGGAAUUGUUAUUUUUGUGAUCUUUUCUUAGACUUUAAUCCGAGGCCUAACCUAAAUAUUGUGAGUGAUCUAAUCUAACUUAACCUAAAUAUAAUAGAUUCCAAUAAAGUUGCAUAAAAACUAUUUUGAUCUAAUUUCGAUGAUUUUUAAAUGUGUCAUAGAAGAUAACUUUUUCUCUUAGUUUUUGAGAUAUUACAGAAAAAAAUUAUUAUUAUUAUUAUAAAUAUCUAUGACCGCAUAUUAUAAUAUCUUUAUGCAUUGUUAUAUAUAAUCAAUGAAAUGACAUCAUACCACCAACAUAGCAAUGCAAACAUAAGAACAAUCUUGAUACUAUCAUACGUGUGUGGUCUGUGAUAAUUUAUAAUCGUGAUAUCAAUCCCUCGAAAGAAAUAUGAUUAAUAGUUGUAAACAAGAUGUAAGAAAACGAUUCAUUAUACACUGGAAACAUUUUAACAUCUUCUACCUUCUAGAAGAUUCGAAACCUUUAUAUAAGAUCCAAGACUCGUAUACACACUUGCCACUGUUUAUCUAAAAUUUACCGAUACACAAAAGGUAGGUGAACGAGAUGAUGCACGUACAGAACAGAAUCAUUAUGUACUUACAUUACAUACGACCACUGAUGGAAGAGGCAGCAGCAUCCACGUCACUCGGUAUCGCUUGCCAAUUGGCUGGGUGCUCGAAACGUUUCAUAAUGCGUUCGAAUGGAGUUAUAAAACGAGCGAAACUUGAGCCUGCAACCACUCUACAGCUCUCUUAUCUUCUCUUUUCGAAACGAUGCCAGAUGCAUAUACGUGAAUGUUGACACAUUCGGUCAACUCAUCUUCCCUUUCUUUCUUAAUAGAAGAAAUAGACAAAAAUGAAAACGAUUUGAAGAACGAAUAGAUGAUAAUUUAAAAAUAGUGAAGUUAGAAGAUAGAGAUUAUUAAAAAAUUAAACAAUUGUUCGCAUAAUUGAAUUGAUGAUUUUGGAUGUAUUUGAAACUGUAAAGCUAAAUAUUAUCUCUGUGAAAUAGAUAUGAUAUUAUAAUAUUAA